UAACCACUCAAGCCUCGGCUUGGUAUUGGGGUUCGCGGUCUCGCGGCCCUUAAAAUCAGUGGCGGUGCCGUCUGGCUCUAAGCGUAGUAAUUUCUCUCGCUAUAGAAUCCGGGUGGUUACUUGCCAAAAUCCCCCAUUUUUUAA
RNAcentral lists this unclassified non-coding RNA (144 nucleotides) under uncultured Meliniomyces. Its description in RNAcentral is "sequence contains ITS2". Lineage: Eukaryota; Fungi; Ascomycota; Leotiomycetes; Helotiales; Helotiaceae. The record is from RNAcentral.